This 252-nucleotide ribosomal RNA is filed under the name uncultured bacterium. RNAcentral describes it as "partial 16S ribosomal RNA". It matches the Rfam family "Bacterial small subunit ribosomal RNA", at positions 524 to 776 of the family's 1533-position model. The record is from RNAcentral.
UACGGGGGGGCAAGCGUUGUUCGGAAUACUGGGCGUAAAGGGCUCGUAGGCGGCCAACUAAGUCGGACGUGAAAUCCCCAGGCUCAACCUGGGAACUGCGUCCGAUACUGGAUGGCUUGAAUCCGGGAGAGGGAUGCAGAAUUCCAGGUGUAGCGGUGAAAUGCGUAGAUAUCUAGAGGAAUACCGGUGGCGAAGGCGGCAUCCUGGACCGGCAUUGACGCUGAGGAGCGAAAGCCAGGGGAGGCAAACGGG